CAGGACCUUCGCACAUGCUGUCCCUCAGCCCUGCAAGAACCAUCUGCUGGAGCCGAGCAGAGGCUGCCUCCUUUGAACGGGACCUGUACCCUCCACUCCCCUACCGCUGCACCACACCAAUCCAUCAUCACACUUAUGAUGUCAUCUUCUCAGAGGCAACCCGUAAACCCCUCGGGGCCCAGAGGCCACGCCUCACUCGACAGCUCGGGAGAGCCGGGCACAGGGGCAGAAGCGACUUGCCGAGGUCAUGCAGUGACAUGGAGCCACAGCCUGGCUUCCUGACACCCCUUCUGCCUUACCAGGCUGAUGCACAGGUUUGCCAUGUGGGAAUUCCCCAGGCCCACCCUGCUGCCAUGCCCUGGUACCCUGUAAUCUGGAGGCAUGUGGGUGCCUGUCACCCAAGCACCCUUUCUGGCACAGCAGGAGGAGAGAGCCAAGCACCCAGGGCAGCCCCCAACCUCAGGGAUCCCCAGCUCCUCCUGUACCCCUUGACCCUCCCACUCCUCCAGGGGCUGCCUCAUGGUUGGUGGGUCCCUGUCCUGCCCUGUCCUAGUGUGGGUCCUUCAGGGAUGGCUGGA
Molecule: long non-coding RNA, 578 nt
Filed under: Homo sapiens (human)
Lineage: Eukaryota; Metazoa; Chordata; Mammalia; Primates; Hominidae
Description: non-protein coding lnc-CLEC16A-4:1
Source: RNAcentral